UGGGGGAUAUUGCACAAUGGGCGAAAGCCUGAUGCAGCGACGCCGCGUGGGGGAUGAAGGCUUUCGGGUUGUAAACCUCUUUCGCUAUCGAACAAGGCCCGCUUAGGGUGGGUUGAGGGUAGGUGGAGAAGAAGCGCCGGCUAACUACGUGCCAGCAGCCGCGGUAAUACGUAGGGCGCGAGCGUUGUCCGGAAUUAUUGGGCGUAAAGGGCUUGUAGGCGGCUUGUUGCGCCUGCUGUGAAAACGCGGGGCUUAACUUCGCGCGUGCAGUGGGUAGGGGCAGGCUUGAGUGUGGUAGGGGUGACUGGAAUUCCAGGUGUAGCGGUGGAAUGCGCAGAUAUAUGGAAGAACACCGAUGGCGAAGGCAGGUCACUGGGCCAUUACAGACGCUGAGGAGCGAAAGCAUGGGUAGCGAACAGG
RNAcentral lists this ribosomal RNA (420 nucleotides) under bacterium. Its description in RNAcentral is "partial 16S ribosomal RNA". It matches the Rfam family "Bacterial small subunit ribosomal RNA", at positions 355 to 776 of the family's 1533-position model. The record is from RNAcentral.